This is a long non-coding RNA of Salvia miltiorrhiza (redroot sage), 597 nucleotides long. RefSeq lists it as uncharacterized. Lineage: Eukaryota; Viridiplantae; Streptophyta; Magnoliopsida; Lamiales; Lamiaceae. The record is from RefSeq and is a predicted model, not a curated record. The transcript has 2 exons.
CGGGAGGGUAGUUAGGGAAUAGUAUAAAUAAGGAGGAGGUGAUAUCAUCAGCCCUCCAGAUCCAUAAGCUGUAGCCAUCCCCUCUUUUCCCCACAGACAUCGCAAAUCCCUUUCAUCUCUCUCUUCUCUCUCCCUCUCUAUAAACCUCGUCCAUUGCGUAUAUAUAUAAGAGCGAUCAUAUAAAAGACUCCUCCUUUCGAAUUCUUACCGCUCUUAUUCCAAAUCAUCUCUCGUGUUUCCUCGUCUCUCAUCAUCUGCUCAGCAACGACUGUAUAAAAAACCCUAGAUCAUUCCUAUUCACACCUUCAAGUAUUGUGGAAGUUGGUAGUUCCUGGGCAAAAUUUGGAUAGAGCAAGUGAUUUGAUGGCAGAUCCUCAAGGUAUGGAAGGGAUCCAACCAGUUGAUCUCUCCAAACAUCCCUCCGGAAUUGUUCCAACUCUCCAGUAAGACCUUCAAUUUACUCUCUGUAAAAAAAACUUGUUUUCCACUGGUCUGCCGUCGCCCUUGUUAAUGCUGUUUGCAUCAAGUCUCCCGAGAUUAUAUGUAUGAUGGGUUUUAAUUAAAAAGUCUGAAUGUUGAGACAAAAAUGUUUUUUCA